This 65-nucleotide transfer RNA is filed under the name Attagenus augustatus augustatus. Its description in RNAcentral is "tRNA-Leu". The record is from RNAcentral. Lineage: Eukaryota; Metazoa; Arthropoda; Insecta; Coleoptera; Dermestidae.
UCUAAUAUGGCAGAUUAGUGCACUGGAUUUAAGACCCACUCAUAAAGCCUCAGCUUUUUUUAGAA